GACGAACGCUGGCGGCGUGCUUAACACAUGCAAGUCGAACGGAAAGGCCCUGCUUUUGUGGGGUGCUCGAGUGGCGAACGGGUGAGUAACACGUGAGUAACCUGCCCUUGACUUUGGGAUAACUUCAGGAAACUGGGGCUAAUACCGGAUAGGAGCUCCUGCUGCAUGGUGGGGGUUGGAAAGUUUCGGCGGUUGGGGAUGGACUCGCGGCUUAUCAGCUUGUUGGUGGGGUAGUGGCUUACCAAGGGUUUGACGGGUAGCCGGCCUGAGAGGGUGACCGGCGACAUUGGGACUGAGAUACGGCCCAGACUCCUACGGGAGGCAGCAGUGGGGAAUAUUGCACAAUGGGCGGAAGCCUGAUGCAGCAACGCCGCGUGCGGGAUGACGGCCUUCGGGUUGUAAACCGCUUUCGCCGGUGACGAAGCGUGAGUGACGGUAAUGGGUAAAGAAGCACCGGCUAACUACGUG
Molecule: ribosomal RNA, 468 nt
Filed under: uncultured bacterium
Lineage: Bacteria
Description: partial 16S ribosomal RNA
Rfam family: Bacterial small subunit ribosomal RNA
Source: RNAcentral